RNAcentral lists this ribosomal RNA (496 nucleotides) under uncultured bacterium. RNAcentral's name for it is "partial 16S ribosomal RNA". It matches the Rfam family "Bacterial small subunit ribosomal RNA", at positions 28 to 506 of the family's 1533-position model. The record is from RNAcentral.
GAUGAACGCUGGCGGCGUGCCUAAUACAUGCAAGUCGAGCGAACAGAUGAGGAGCUUGCUCCUCUGACGUUAGCGGCGGACGGGUGAGUAACACGUGGAUAACCUACCUAUAAGACUGGGAUAACUUCGGGAAACCGGAGCUAAUACCGGAUAAUAUAUUGAACCGCAUGGUUCAAUAGUGAAAGACGGUUUUGCUGUCACUUAUAGAUGGAUCCGCGCCGCAUUAGCUAGUUGGUAAGGUAACGGCUUACCAAGGCAACGAUGCGUAGCCGACCUGAGAGGGGAAUCGGCCACACUGGAACUGAGACACGGUCCAGACCCCUACGGGAGGCAGCAGUAGGGAAUCUUCCGCAAUGGGCGAAAGCCUGACGGAGCAACGCCGCGUGAGUAAUGAAGGUCUUCGGAUCGUAAAACUCUGUUAUUCGGGAAGAACAAAUGUGUAAGUAACUAUGCACGUCUUGACGGUACCUAAUCAGAAAGCCACGGCUAACUACGU